Molecule: ribosomal RNA, 1088 nt
Filed under: Leptathamas paradoxus
Lineage: Eukaryota; Metazoa; Arthropoda; Arachnida; Araneae; Salticidae
Description: eukaryotic LSU rRNA
Rfam family: Eukaryotic large subunit ribosomal RNA
Source: RNAcentral
CGGCGAGCGAAAAGGGAAGAGCCCAGCGCCGAAUCCCCGGCCCCACGGCCGAGGGAAAUGUGGCGUUUAGGAGUGAGCGCGUCGGGAGCGGCGGAGGCGGCAAGUCCCCCUGACCGGGGCCUGUCCGUAGCGGGUGCGAGGCCCAUAGCCGCCCCCGCCUCCCCGAACGCGAUCUCCUGGGAGUCGGGUUGCUUGGGAGUGCAGCCCUAAUCGGGUGGUAAACUCCACCUAAGGCUAAAUACCGCCGUGAGACCGAUAGCAAACAAGUACCGUGAGGGAAAGUUGCAAAGAACUUUGAAGAGAGAGUUCAAGAGUACGUGAAACUGCUCAGAGGUAAACGGGUGGGCCCUCGAAAUCCUGUGGCGGGAGGAUUCAGCCUGGGCCGGCGGGCGGCAGUGACCGGGGGAAGAUCUGGCGAGCAGGGACUCCGCCGAGCGCGGGCCGUCCCCCGGGCCGCCCCCGUCCGUCCCAGACGCAUUUGACUCCCGCCCCGAGGACGCUGCGGCCGGUUCGGAAGCUGCAAGCGCGACGGCCUGGAGGCCGGGAGGUGGCAGGUGGCCGGUGGCUCSCCGAGUGCGGGUCGCCGGUUGUUAGCCGUCCCGGCGGUGGCACGUCUCCGGACCGAGGUUUUGGGGUUCCCCUCGGGGGACCCCGUCCGUCUCCGACCCCCGCGUCAGCGGGGCAGACCGCGGCCCGGGGCCCCGGACUGUUCGACCGGCGCACGAACACGGCGUGGCCGGGAGGGCCGGGGCCCCACGUCCGCCGCGACGGGCCCGCGGGGGAACGGAGGCCGGCAGCGAGUAGGUCGGUCACCCACCCGACCCGUCUUGAAACACGGACCAAGGAGUCUAACAUGUGCGCGAGUYGACGGGUNUUGGACAGGCCCGUGGGCGCAAUGAAAGCGAAGGGAUCCGCCGAGCGCGGCCCGAGCGGGGAUCCCGGGCCCACGAGGCCCGGGCGCACCCGCGGCCCGUCCUAUCCGGUCCGCCGGUUGGGCGGAGCUUGAGCGUACGCGUUGGGACCCGAAAGAUGGUGAGCUAUGCCCGGACAGGACGAGGCCAGAGGAAACUCUGGUGGAGGUCCGCAGC